Panthera uncia (snow leopard) is the source of this 475-nucleotide long non-coding RNA. RefSeq lists it as uncharacterized. The transcript is spliced from 4 exons. NCBI's taxonomy places the organism in Eukaryota, Metazoa, Chordata, Mammalia, Carnivora, Felidae. The record is from RefSeq and is a predicted model, not a curated record.
CCCACCACAGCCCUGCGUCCAGUCGGGGCAGCUCGUACGUCACCCAGUUUGCCAAUGUGCCCGUUUCACCGGGAGGGGGCGCCAGAUGCCCGUUCCUUGGGAAGCCGGGGACGGCGUUGGGGUGCAGGGACUGCUCUUUUGAAGGAGGCCCACCCGGACCGAUGCUGUGGAACUGGGGAGUCCCGCCUCCCAUGGCCCUCGAGAUAAAAUCCAAACUCCUGAACACAGCCUUACAAGGACUUGCAUGGUCUGGCUCACCUCAUCCCAGACACCACCUUCUCAACAGACCUUUCUUAAUUCAGCAAAUAUUGAUCGAGUGCCUAUUGUCCCAGGCCUGAGGACUUAGUGGUCAAGUCUAAAUGCUGCUCCUUUAGAAGACACCUUAUCUGAGUUGGUCAGCAGGAUGGAUGCGGCAACUCCAGGCAUCACAGUCGGACUUCAUCUCAUACUGAGUUUUCCCCUUGUUAUGUGUCUU